Molecule: ribosomal RNA, 254 nt
Filed under: uncultured bacterium
Lineage: Bacteria
Description: partial 16S ribosomal RNA
Rfam family: Bacterial small subunit ribosomal RNA
Source: RNAcentral
UACGUAGGUGGCAAGCGUUGUCCGGAUUUACUGGGCGUAAAGAGCGCGCAGGCGGUCGUCCAAGUCGCGUGUGAAAGCCCCCGGCUCAACUGGGGAGGGUCACGCGAUACUGGUCGACUCGAAGGCAGGAGAGGGUAGUGGAAUUCCCGGGUGUAGCGGUGGAAUGCGUAGAGAUCCGGAAGAACACCGGUGGCGAAGGCGGCCUGCUGGGCAGUUGCUGACGCUGAUGCGCGACAGCGUGGGGAGCAAACAGG